Molecule: transfer RNA, 72 nt
Filed under: Ictidomys tridecemlineatus (thirteen-lined ground squirrel)
Lineage: Eukaryota; Metazoa; Chordata; Mammalia; Rodentia; Sciuridae
Description: Spermophilus tridecemlineatus (thirteen-lined ground squirrel) tRNA
Rfam family: tRNA
About the family: Transfer RNA (tRNA) molecules are approximately 80 nucleotides in length. Their secondary structure includes four short double-helical elements and three loops (D, anti-codon, and T loops).
Source: Rfam by way of RNAcentral
GCAAAUGUAGCUCAGUGGUAGAGCACUUGUUUAGUAUACACGAGGCCCUGGGUUCCAUACCCAGCACUGGGG